RNAcentral lists this ribosomal RNA (633 nucleotides) under Eudocima tyrannus. Its description in RNAcentral is "partial 28S ribosomal RNA". It matches the Rfam family "Eukaryotic large subunit ribosomal RNA", at positions 413 to 809 of the family's 3401-position model. The record is from RNAcentral. Lineage: Eukaryota; Metazoa; Arthropoda; Insecta; Lepidoptera; Erebidae.
GGGUAAACCUGCGAAACUCGAAUGNACGAACGGAGAGAUUCAUCGUCACUCCUCGGCGUACGGGCGUGCGACUCGAUGUCGUCCGGCUCGGCCGGGCGGCACGACGCGCGCUCGUCGACGCCCGGGGACGGCGUGCACUUCUCUCUUAGUAAAUGCAUCGCGACCCGUUCGAUGUCGGUCUAAGCGCCGUUCGGGAGCCCCGGCGUGCGCUCAAAGUCGCGGGACCGCGACGGUGGCCGACCGGCCGUCGGACGGUAUCACUGACGAAGCGCGCACGCGUUUACAACGCGUCCGGCCCGACGCAAGCCAACGUCGUAUCCGACGUNACCGCCAAAGUGCGGACGCCGGUGCGGCGUANCUGUCGUUGCUGCCGUGCAGUCUCGGACUGUGCGCGUCUCUGUCUGCGAUGAUUCAGUUUCGGGCACUCGCAGGACCCGUCUUGAAACACGGACCAAGGAGUCUAGCAUGUAUGCGAGUCAUUGAUUCAUUUAAACUGAAAGGCGCAACGAAAGUGAAGGCGCGCGCUUGCCGCGUGCUCAGGGAGGAUGGAGCGUCGAUCUCGGUCGAUCUCUCGCACUCCCGAGGCGUCUCGUUUCCAAUCUGUGAAUGCAGGCGCGCUCUGAGCAUAAAUGC